UUGGUCUUCUUUUGUGAUAUUUCUGGAUCAGUGUUGCAUUUGCAAUGGUGUAGGUCUGCAAUCAACUAGCAUCUACUUUUACUUCCAAGAAAAGCUAAGGUCAUUUAGUUGAGCUCUUUUAUACCUAGUCCUCCUUCAUAUUCAAUUUUUUCCAAAGAUUAAGGAGGACUAUACAAAAAAGCAGAAAAUCUAGCUUAGAAGAUUUAUAUUUAGGAUUAAAAGUUAACAGGUGAGAA
RNAcentral lists this long non-coding RNA (236 nucleotides) under Elaeis guineensis (African oil palm). RNAcentral's name for it is "long non-coding RNA (EGUI_LNC020535)". The record is from RNAcentral. Lineage: Eukaryota; Viridiplantae; Streptophyta; Magnoliopsida; Arecales; Arecaceae.